CUUGAUGGUGGCUGUGUGCUUGGCACCUUCGGGUGCGCCGGGUUUUGGGGAUGUCUACCGGUCUGCUAACUCGCACACAGCCGCCACCCCC
This 91-nucleotide non-coding RNA is filed under the name Pseudomonas moraviensis. Lineage: Bacteria; Pseudomonadati; Pseudomonadota; Gammaproteobacteria; Pseudomonadales; Pseudomonadaceae. The record is from RNAcentral.